RNAcentral lists this ribosomal RNA (493 nucleotides) under uncultured bacterium. RNAcentral's name for it is "partial 16S ribosomal RNA". It matches the Rfam family "Bacterial small subunit ribosomal RNA", at positions 28 to 507 of the family's 1533-position model. The record is from RNAcentral.
GACGAACGCUGGCGGCGUGCUUAACACAUGCAAGUCGAACGGAAAGGCCUGCUUUCCCUUGUGGAUUGCGGGUACUCGAGUGGCGAACGGGUGAGUAACACGUGAGUGAUCUGCCCCCAACUUGGGUAUAAGCCUGGGAAACUGGGUCUAAUUCCCGAUAGGACUGCAGGGUGGUGCCUGUGGUGGAAAACGAUUUUCUAGUGGUUGGGGAUGAGCUCGCGGCCUAUCAGCUUGUUGGUGGGGUAAUGGCCUACCAAGGCGGCGACGGGUAGCCGGCCUGGGAGGGUGGACGGCCACAUUGGGACUGGGAUACGGCCCAGAUUCCUACGGGAGGCAGCAGUGGGGAAUAUUGCACAAUGGGCGGAAGCCUGAUGCAGCGCCGCCGCGUGGGGGAUGACGCCUUCGGGUUGUAAACUCCUUUCGACCGCGAGGAAGCCACCUGGUUGGAAGGGUGGUGACGGUAGUGGUAGAAGAAGCACCGGCUAACUACGUG